GUGGGGAAUAUUGCACAAUGGGCGCAAGCCUGAUGCAGCAACGCCGCGUGAGGGAAGACGGUUUUCGGAUUGUAAACCUUUGUCUUUGGUGAAGAAGAAAGUGACGGUAGCCAAGGAGGAAGCCACGGCUAACUACGUGCCAGCAGCCGCGGUAAUACGUAGGUGGCAAGCGUUGUCCGGAAUUACUGGGUGUAAAGGGAGCGCAGGCGGGACUGCAAGUUGGAUGUGAAAUACCGGGGCUCAACCCCGGAGCUGCAUCCAAAACUGUAGUUCUUGAGUGAAGUAGAGGUAGGCGGAAUUCCGAGUGUAGCGGUGAAAUGCGUAGAUAUUCGGAGGAACACCAGUGGCGAAGGCGGCCUACUGGGCUUUAACUGACGCUGAGGCUCGAAAGUGUGGGGAGCAAACAGGAUUAGAAACCCUAGUAGUCC
Molecule: ribosomal RNA, 428 nt
Filed under: uncultured bacterium
Lineage: Bacteria
Description: bacterial SSU rRNA
Rfam family: Bacterial small subunit ribosomal RNA
Source: RNAcentral